Molecule: long non-coding RNA, 381 nt
Filed under: Bos taurus (domestic cattle)
Lineage: Eukaryota; Metazoa; Chordata; Mammalia; Artiodactyla; Bovidae
Description: long non-coding RNA NONBTAT015507
Source: RNAcentral
UGUCAGGCACAUAUGUUAACUUUCACUUUCCUCUGCAUUUCUUUAAGCACUCAGUCAUAGUCAUGUAUUUUAAGUACAUUAAAAUAGAUACCACCUCAGAUAGAGAUGGUUGGUAUCAUUUUUCUUCACUCCAUCCUAGCACUUGUGCUUGAGAAAUGUAAUUUCUAUUUUUUCCCCUAGUAUAAUUCCACCUGUCUUUUAUUGUUCUUUCAUUACAUAAAAGGAAAACCCUAACAGCACAUUUUUUGAGAACGGUUUCACUCCAAGUUUUCAAAAAUAAGCUCUCUUAAAGCUACUGUUUUAAAAUAGUCCUCGUUACCUGCUACAACAUAGAAGAUGGUUGUAUUUAGUUAGAUGUGUUUAGAGAGCCGACGUCCUCUG